GACGAACGCUGGCGGCGUGCCUAAUACAUGCAAGUUGAGCGCUGAAGGUUGGUACUUGUACCAACUGGAUGAGCAGCGAACGGGUGAGUAACGCGUGGGGAAUCUGCCUUUGAGCGGGGGACAACAUUUGGAAACGAAUGCUAAUACCGCAUAAAAACUUUAAACACAAGUUUUAAGUUUGAAAGAUGCAAUUGCAUCACUCAAAGAUGAUCCCGCGUUGUAUUAGCUAGUUAGUGAGGUAAAGGCUCACCAAGGCGAUGAUACAUAGCCGACCUGAGAGGGUGAUCGGCCACAUUGGGACUGAGACACGGCCCAAACUCCUGCGGGAGGCAGCAGUAGGGAAUCUUCGGCAAUGGACGAAAGUCUGACCGAGCAACGCCGCGUGAGUGAAGAAGGUUUUCGGAUCGUAAAACUCUGUUGGUAGAGAAGAACGUUGGUGAGAGUGGAAAGCUCAUCAAGUGACGGUAACUACCCAGAAAGGGACGGCUAACUACGUG
This 497-nucleotide ribosomal RNA is filed under the name uncultured bacterium. RNAcentral describes it as "partial 16S ribosomal RNA". It matches the Rfam family "Bacterial small subunit ribosomal RNA", at positions 28 to 507 of the family's 1533-position model. The record is from RNAcentral.